Synchiropus splendidus (mandarinfish) is the source of this 4540-nucleotide long non-coding RNA. RefSeq lists it as uncharacterized. The record is from RefSeq and is a predicted model, not a curated record. The transcript is spliced from 3 exons. Lineage: Eukaryota; Metazoa; Chordata; Actinopteri; Syngnathiformes; Callionymidae.
UAAUCCCUGCCUCACACACAGGGUGACCCGGUGGCCCACCAGCCUGCUGUCAGUCACGCUAUGUGGAGGUUGGUAGUGUGUAAUUAAACUAGCCGCCUUAUCAGCUCAUCUGUAGACUCUGGUAAUAACCUUCUCUGCUUCCAUCCCCUCUUCCUCUGUGAGCUCACCGCAGAUCUGGAUAAAAGCCUGGUUGAAAUCGACAGAUAGGCGCAGAAAGAGAGGAAGACAAGAAACGCCCCAAAACCACCUGAGAACCAUUAGGAGUCAACUCAGUAGGGUGGGUAAGACUGAAAUGUUUUUCUUUUUAAAUCUGUCCAGCUCUUAUCACAAAGAUCGGCAAACACUUUGUUGCGGUUUAUUAGCACCACAUGACCUCUCUGCACCUGACCUGCACCGCUUUUAUCACACUGCUGCAGAUCCUGUUGAAUAUUUACCACCCUGGUUGUAUUGUACCCACGGAAGACAGACAGCAACAAAGAAAACGCGGAUGAAAGGUCGGACAGAUAAACUCCAGACACAAGUUAAAAUCUUUUGAGAGCUAAUCGGCCGUGUCCUUGACAACAUCACAGUGUGUUAUGUAUCACAGAACAAAAGUGGGCUUUAAAUAUAUGAACAUAAAUACAGGUGACAAGAGCUUCCACCUGCAAAAGCUCAUUCAGUUCAAACAUAAUGUGCACAGUUUAGUGUGACAAUACAAUUACAGACUCAUUCACGCUCAAACUAUUCUGAUGAUUUUUGGAUGUGAUGGAGUAGUAGGUCUCACUUGGUGGAUGAAAUGCUGAAGACGAUAAGCUAGACUACCAAAAACAGCAUCUUUCAAGUCAAGCAUGUUCACCACUUUACAAAGAGCAUGACUUUAUAAUGGUCCACCUACCAGUUUCAUUGAGAAGUUGUUGCUCUCCCAGCUGCACAGCAUCAAACUCAUGUUGCUUCCUGCAUGAGAUUCACAUGGAGGGAAUCGGCUUCCAUCCCAGCUGAACCCCAAACCUUGCCAUUACUAGUGUAACUUACUGAGAGUGGCUACAAAGAUAGGACCCCGAGCACUGCAGGUACACAGACAGCUGGGAUCCAAUGAAGCUCCACAAGCUAAAGCUAGUGAGUCCUGGCAGAGUGCACCUUCCAAAUGAUUGGGCUGCUGGUCUCCCAAGCCCUGACAGGUCUCUGGAUGCCUGAGGGGGAAGACCUCAGUGCCUCCAGCUUCUCUCCUCCCACUAUUGAAUCCAGAGGAGGGAAAAAUAAACGCAAAAGCUCAAAGCAAGAGAAGCUCUGUGGUCUCUGCUUCCCCUCAGCUCGAAAGCCAAACCAAAUGCGAGCAGAGAUGAGAAGAAGGAGGAGAAGGAGGAGUGGAUCCCCUACUGCCCUUCAUUACCCCCCCCCACACACGGACGCCCACGGCAACACAUUGUGCUAUUGCUUUUCAAUGGACCAUUGGCCAGAAGGGCAGGGAAAGUAUAGAGGAAAGGACAGAGCUCUUAACCUUCAUCAGCCCCUCCUCCGGGAGAUCUUAAAUAACAAAAAACAGUGGUGAAACAUGACAAAAAGAGGAGAUCAGUGCUUCCUUGAUAACAGGAGGGAGUAAAAAAAGGAAGCCGCACAGAACCAACACUCAUUUUCCAUUUAUUAUUCCUCUAACCAGACCUGCAUGUUUAAAAAAAGCCCUUUUAUUUUCUCCAACCCUUCUGCUCUCUGAUCAGCCGUCACCCACAACACACCAGUCAGCAGCUGCAUGUGUAUUUCUGUUCUGCAGAACACACAUUUAUGUAUCUGCGUGUGCAACUAGGAUGCCCUCCGAUUGUGCCUGUCCUAUCCGCCGCGCGCAAACACACACACACGCCACCACCGACCACAAAUUACAAGCUGUAUUUACAUUUUGGGAAUGACCCAAGAUUCUGAGAAAGUUCCCACACGAGGGGGCCGCUUGAUCACUUCCAGCAGGGGAAACAGCAUAAAAAGCAUCAUGAAACAACACUGAUCCCGAAACGGUGAAAAUGUUGAUGCGUGACUAAUGAAGAGUAAAAGAGUGCGAAGACCAGUGUGAAUUCACUGCUUCACAACCAGGCAAUGUCGUUCAGCAACCUUCUUUUCACCCACCAAUUCAAGCCUUUUACAGCAAACAAACACAGGUAUAAAAACUAACCAGCAUUUUUUUCAUCUCUGAUGCAUGUGGCGCCAUGUGGAGACCAUGAUUGAAAUUUUUUUUUUUUUUUAGCAAAGCAUUUGGAAUGAUGGAGCUCUAGCAGAGGUAAUAAAAAGUAAAAUCAUUCUGGCUCUUACACAGGAACAACAGCUCACAUCAUUGCCUGAACCACCGUAGCAAGCUUCUACCUCCAUGAGAAGAAGCUUCAAAGCGGCUCCUGGUUCCAGACUGAGAUGGAACUGAUUGUGUUAGUCUGAACGGUGGUGCUGCUGGAUUCCCCAGCGGACGCCACUCACAAUGACCCGUUUGUCUGCCCCGACGAUUUUGACUGUGACAGCUAACACGUGCCAUGACUUCACACAGGAAGGAGAGAGGGGCACCAGUGAACAGGAAGUGGAAUUUGAUCGAGGCGCAUUAGGCAAAGAUGAGGUCAUUAUGGCAGGAGCCAACUGCUACAUGAUCGUGAUGCGCCAUCAACCCACACUGUCAUUGAUUCAUUAAAACCUCCAACGGUUGACUUCAUUGACAAAACUGUUCUUAGUACCGACCAGUGAAAUGCUUCACAGCAGCUGCUUAUUGAGAAAGGAAUGCAGCGAAAUGUGGCAAAGGACCUGCAUUCAAGAUAGAAAUAAAAGCCACAGAAUUCUGUGAUUUUUUUUUCUUUUUAUAUGAAUAUACUGGGAUGAUGUGAGGUGAAGAUGCAGUUUAGAUGGUGAAAAUUCUAAGUUAGCACUACAAUGAUGACAUGAUCUCAGACAGUCGGCAAUGUACAGUAUGUUGAACAACCUUAAUAUUAAACAAGCCUUUCAUAGCUGUUCUUAUCUGAGCAUUUAGAAAGGCUACAAUUCCAAUAACAUCCCUGUUUCUCCGUGUGAAUCAGCAACAGUGUUGAUCACCUACACUGGUGCACAACUGGUCUCUGCGAGGUCCUCCUUACCAAUAUUUGUACAGUGAGUCUGCAGAGGCCACAUUGUCGCUACAGAAACAAUCACCAUUAUUACAGUGGGACUGGAAAAUUCAGUGAUAUACUAGGAAUCCCUGACAUUUAUUGCAAUAACAUCUUCUUACAAUGGCUCCAAAGUCAUUCAAAGGCACCUCCUCUGAGCUUGUGCCGUCUCUCGGCGCUCACUUCAUCUCCUCACAAUAGACUCUUCAGCAAUCACACACUAAAACAGCCAUUAAAUCUAAUUUUAACUUCACAACGACAUAUGUGAACGUGUGGCUCUUUGUCAAGGUAUCAAUACGAAGCAGCACAAUAUAUUGCCCUCCAUAAAUCAGCCUGCUGCAGCAACAUUAGCACUCUAAUGCAGCAGCAGGGCGGUUCACUUCACUUUUUUCCUGCUGGUUGGAAGUAAAGGCCAUAAAAGUCAUUGUCUUAUUGUCUGUGGAAAAGCAAGUCUUCAAAAGGUCAGGUUAUACAUUCAUGAUUUUUAGAGAGAUACUUUUCUCUGAUUCACACCUGGACAAAGUGCAGCCCAGGGGCCAUAUGCGGUCCGAUGCCUGUAUUUUCAUGGCGCGUUUGACGUCAGACUAAAAACUAUAACUAAUAUGUCCUCAUUUUUCUGUCAUUUCAUUUUCUGUGUUUUUGUUGCUCCACAAAAUACGUGAAAAAAUAUUUUGAAUCUAUAUUCAAAUUAAGUAUAUAUAUAGUAUAAAUAGAAGAGUAUAUAAAUAUUUCAAUCUGUUUAAUGGUAUAUUUACACUUCUUAAUAUCCUUAUUGUUACAUAUUACAUUUCAUCUUCUUCGGUUCAUUUUGUACUUAAUUUUGAUAGCUAUUUUUCCAUCAUGCUUUGUAUUCAUUGCUGUCUUUCUUUUGGCAUGAUGGUCCCUCACAGACAUUACAGUUUCUGAUGUGGCCCUAAUGUGGAAAUUUAAUUUCCCAUCUCUGAUCUGAUUUAAUGUUUAACAUGACAUUUUUGAAUAAAGCAUUUGGACAAAAUUGUCUUCUUUUUUCAGCAUUACUUUAACAUAUUGUACCUUACUGAAAAUAAAGAAAAAACAUGAUAAAACCAUGAUAAAAUUAAAGCAGAUGGUCCAUCUUAGCAGUGUGACCAGAUGUGUUCCACCAGGUGAAUUAAACUAAAAUUAAUUUGCAUCUUUAAGAUGAGGGGGAAAAAACUGAAUGCAUAAGCAUUUCAAUUAAUGGAGGAGAACGGAAUGCGUCAGAGCAGGUUGCUCCUGAGGAAAGAAAGCACAAUUGUGUUUUAACAUGAGGACACUGGAAGAUCUCCUUUAUUCACAAGGAGACCACCUUCACUAAUCAUGGCCAGGGGGCUGAUGAAAAUUGUCAUCCAUCGUGUCUGGAUUCAUGGAUUUACAGUGAUUGUAUGUAAGCAGCCAGCACAAGGCUAAUCAUUGUAAGAAUGAUAUAAUUUACUUUACACACACAAUGAUGGUUAUAU